Ochotona princeps (American pika) is the source of this 630-nucleotide long non-coding RNA. RefSeq lists it as uncharacterized. The record is from RefSeq and is a predicted model, not a curated record. NCBI's taxonomy places the organism in Eukaryota, Metazoa, Chordata, Mammalia, Lagomorpha, Ochotonidae. The transcript is spliced from 3 exons.
AGCCACCAGUGAACUGAUCCAAAAAUAACAAAGGCUGUUUCUGAGUUCUUGUUUGUACCCACCAUUUUCAGAUUACAUCAGAACCAAAACAUGCAGGACUUGAACUGACUUCAAAGGCUAAACUUAGAUUUCUAGCUGGUUGGACUUUUUCCUUUUACUGAUUCAUGUUUUUCAUUUGACUUCCAUAUCCCGUUCUAGCUUGAUGCCCCUUCUAGAAUUUCAUGAUUCGUACAGCCUUGGUUGAUAAAAUACACUAAUUAAUACUGUGGUGGAGGUUGAAGAUUUUAGUAAUCUCAUGCUGCCUGUCCUGUAAAAGAUUUGCUGUUUUUCCACUCAUGUCUACCAUCACACUGAAUGUGGCAAAUGUAACUUAGGUGGGAAUCUGAAUUUACUUCAUUGGAAUGCAUUUAAAGCUGGGGAAACUUGUUGGCAUUAGAUCUACCCUGCAGCAUACUGAGGAAGGUCCCAGGGCUGGAUAGAAAUGAUCCCAGAUGGGAGCCCAUGUGUUCGGGAAGACCAAAGAACACUGGAAACGGUGUAUCUGGUGGAGGUGUUCGGAUCCCUGGCUGUGCUCUUGGAGGGCCUGUGUCUUUAGGAGUUUGUUCCAGUUCUCAGGCUCCUGGCUCACCA